AGUGUAUGUAAACUUUUGACUUCAACUGUAUAUCUUCCUGGAUGUUUCCUAUGGCUGCCUGGAGAGCAAGAUGGUGACUACCUGUGAGGGUGCCGGUGUGGUGCAUUUGGAAUGUGGAGAUGGGGUGGUCUUUCUUCAGAAAGCACUGUAUGGACGCACAGACAGCCAGACCUGCAGUCAGGGACGACCUCAGAGUCAGCUGACUAACACAAAGUGUUCCCAGGAAGGAACUCUGGUCACAGA
This is a long non-coding RNA of Salmo salar (Atlantic salmon), 243 nucleotides long. RefSeq lists it as uncharacterized. The record is from RefSeq and is a predicted model, not a curated record. Lineage: Eukaryota; Metazoa; Chordata; Actinopteri; Salmoniformes; Salmonidae.